This 1016-nucleotide ribosomal RNA is filed under the name Sarcophaga lunigera. Its description in RNAcentral is "eukaryotic LSU rRNA". It matches the Rfam family "Eukaryotic large subunit ribosomal RNA", at positions 111 to 952 of the family's 3401-position model. The record is from RNAcentral. Lineage: Eukaryota; Metazoa; Arthropoda; Insecta; Diptera; Sarcophagidae.
GCACUAAGUCACUUUGUCUUUAUGGCAAAUGUGAGAUGCAGUGUAUGGAAUGUCAAAUUUCUAGUAUGAGAAAUUAACGAUUUAAGUCCUUCUUAAAUGAGGCCAUUUACCCAUAGAGGGUGCCAGGCCCGUAUAACGUUAAUGAUUACUAGAUGGCAUUUCCAAAGAGUCGUGUUGCUUGAUAGUGCAGCACUAAGUGGGUGGUAAACUCCAUCUAAAACUAAAUAUAACCAUGAGACCGAUAGUAAACAAGUACCGUGAGGGAAAGUUGAAAAGAACUCUGAAUAGAGAGUUAAAUAGUACGUGAAACUGCUUAGAGGUUAAGCCCGAUGAACCUGAAUAUCCAUUAUAGAAAAUUCAUCAUUAUGAUUUUAAUAUUAAUAAUAUUAUAAUAAUGGUGUGCAUUUUUUCUAUAACGGACAUUGUAAUCUAUUAACAUAAAUAUAUUUAUCAUAAGAUCAAUGAUGCGUAAGUUUAUUCAAAUUAUUUUGCUUGCAAUUUAACAUAGAAUAAAUGCUCUUGAUUUGAUAAAGUGUUGAUAGAUUUAUUGUAUAUAGUGCUUAAAUAUUUAUAUUUUAUAAUAGCAUAUUAAUCAUUGAUUUUUAUGUUUAUUAUAUGCACUUAUAUGAUUAACAAUGCGAAAGAUUCAGGAUACCUUCGGGACCCGUCUUGAAACACGGACCAAGGAGUCUAACAUAUUUGCAAGUUAUUGGGUAUCAAAACCUAAUAGCGAAAUUAACAUAACUUUAAUGGGAUUAGUUUUUAGAUUAUUUAUAGUCUAUUAAUUCAAUCCCGGGGCGUUCUAUACAGUUAUGUAUAAUAAUAUUUAUAUUAUUUAUACCUCUAACUAGAGCGUACCUUGAGCAUAUAUGCUGUGACCCGAAAGAUGGUGAACUAUACUUGAUCAGGUUGAAGUCAGGGGAAACCCUGAUGGAAGACCGAAACAGUUCUGACGUGCAAAUCGAUUGUCAGAAUUGAGUAUAGGGGCGAAAGACCAAUCGAACCAUCUAGUAGCU